GAGGGGGAGCUAAUCCCAUAAAGCCAGUCGUAGUCCGGAUCGUAGUCUGCAACUCGACUACGUGAAGUCGGAAUCGCUAGUAAUCGUGGAUCAGAAUGUCACGGUGAAUACGUUCCCGGGUCUUGUACACACCGCCCGUCACACCAUGGGAGCGGGUUCUGCCAGAAGUAGUUAGCCUAACCGCAAGGAGGGCGAUUACCACGGCAGGGUUCGUGACUGGGGUG
Molecule: ribosomal RNA, 224 nt
Filed under: uncultured bacterium
Lineage: Bacteria
Description: partial 16S ribosomal RNA
Rfam family: Bacterial small subunit ribosomal RNA
Source: RNAcentral